CUCUGUUUACAAGCUAGCGCCACCGGAGGGGCCCGCGGCCCAUUAGCUAGUUGGUGAGGUAACGGCUCACCAAGGCGACGAUAGGUAGCCGGCCUGAGAGGGCGACCGGCCACACUGGAACUGAGACACGGUCCAGACUCCUACGGGAGGCAGCAGUGAGGAAUAUUGCGCAAUGGGCGAAAGCCUGACGCAGCGACGCCGCGUGGAGGAUGAAGGUCUUCGGAUUGUAAACUCCUGUCGUCCGGGACGAAUGCCGGGGAGGUUAACAGCCUCUUCGGUUGACGGUACCGGAGGAGGAAGCCCCGGCUAACUCCGUGCCAGCAGCCGCGGUAAUACGGAGGGGGCCAGCGUUGUUCGGAAUCAUUGGGCGUAAAGGGCGCGUAGGCGGCUGGUCAAGUCGGACGUGAAAUCCCUCGGCUCAACCGAGGAACUGCGUCCGAUACUGUCCGGCUUGAGUCCCGGAGAGGGUAGUGGAAUUCCCAGUGUAGCGGUGAAAUGCGUAGAUACUGGGAGGAACACCAGUGGCGAAGGCGGCUACCUGGACGGGUACUGACGCUGAGGCGCGAAAGCUAGGGGAGCAAACAGGGUUAGAU
Molecule: ribosomal RNA, 593 nt
Filed under: uncultured bacterium
Lineage: Bacteria
Description: bacterial SSU rRNA
Rfam family: Bacterial small subunit ribosomal RNA
Source: RNAcentral